CCUAAAUAUAAUUAAAUAAAAAUAUUGUCAAAUAUAAAUUUCAUCUAUUUAAACUAUGGCAACAAAUGCACUGUUACAAGGAUUCAAGGAUUUAAAAGGAGAAUUUCAAAAGAAUCUUCUGAAAGUGGUGGUAAUGCUUCAAUUGAUUCAGAAUAAUUCCAUAGGGUUUCUUUGGAAGAAGAUGCACAGAUUUCAAAAUCAUAAACAGGAGGUUCAAGCAAACAGUUAUUCAGUAGGUGGGAGAGAAGGAGUGAUUGAAGACAGGGCAUAUAUGUGACCACAAACAAGAGCAUCUACUUCAGUA
This is a long non-coding RNA of Bombus pascuorum, 304 nucleotides long. RefSeq lists it as uncharacterized. NCBI's taxonomy places the organism in Eukaryota, Metazoa, Arthropoda, Insecta, Hymenoptera, Apidae. The transcript has 2 exons. The record is from RefSeq and is a predicted model, not a curated record.